Molecule: ribosomal RNA, 132 nt
Filed under: Clostridioides difficile
Lineage: Bacteria; Bacillati; Bacillota; Clostridia; Peptostreptococcales; Peptostreptococcaceae
Description: partial 23S ribosomal RNA
Rfam family: Bacterial large subunit ribosomal RNA
Source: RNAcentral
UUCAAGAUAAGAUUUCCCACCGCAAGGGUAAGACCCCAGAAAGACUAUCUGGUUGAUAGGUCGAAGGUGUAAGUGCAGCAAUGUAUUUAGCUUAUCGAUACUAAUAGGUCGAGGACUUGACCAAUAUCUAUU